UCGCCUCUACCUCUUUGAAUUUGUUAGUCGAUGCUGCUACCACGUCGGUACUCCACAGCCUGUUUUUUUUAUUUUAACAAUGGUGAAUAAGUACAAGCUCACAACAAAACGCACUGUUCAUAUAACAAAUGGAUUUGAGGCUUGUAUUCUGUCAGGAGGUCAUGCAGGACACGUGGGGUGACAGUCAUGCCUCCAGUGUGGCCCACUGAUGAUGGAUAAAGCCAGACUCAGCUGAAACAACUUGCGCUGCCACAGGAGAUGUGAAGGCCAGGAGAAUGCAGCUGUUUAUGCGAAAACUUUUCCAAGUGGAGCUGUCAUGCAGCACACUGUGCUACUAACUCAACCAGCCGCCUGAAGUAUCAGUUUCUCCAGGUUGCCUUGGCGCUUUAAGAUUCUUCUGAAAGACACUGGUCAGUUUCCAAGGAUGCUGCAGCAGCCAAGACUUUUGACGUGCUCUCGGUUGCAUUGGUGCUUUAAGAGUCUUCUGGAAGACACUGGUUAAAGGGAUACUUCACCUGGUGAAACAUGAAUCUGGAUUGAAAUUGGGUCAUAUGUAGUAAUGGGAAAUACUUUUUUGAAGUUGGUGCCUUCUUGGCUGAGAAAAGGCAGAAAGUCUCUUUUGGGCUGAUGUGGAUGAAAGACAACAACUCCCAGAAUGCACAGCCCCCGCCUCAGGGGAAAAUGAGGGCACAAUGCACCGCCAUUCAAAAAUACUACCAGGUUUCUAAUGACACAAAGCUUAAUGUAAAUUGGUGAAGUAUCCCAUUAAUCUGCGAGGAUGCUGCUGCAGCCCAGACUUCUGACACAUCUGUGGUGUCACUCUGCCAGUUGAAGGCAGUCUUCAGAGGUCUGACAUCAACAGGUUGCCUUGGCAUUUUAAGAUUCUUCUGAAAGACACUGGUCAGUUUCCAAGGAGGAUGCUGCAGCAGCCAAGACUUUUGACAUGCUCUCGUAUUGAAUGGAGUAGUUGCAGUAACUCGCCUUGGUAUUCCUGCAAGCUGAAUGUGAUAUCAAGAGUGGACAUGACAACUGCUGUGAAGAUGGAUGGAUGACACAUGUUUGAAAAAACAUUUUGAGGAGAUGGAUUUGUGUUAUCACAAUAAAUGUCAUAAAAAGACUGA
Long non-coding RNA from Labrus bergylta (ballan wrasse), 1121 nucleotides. RefSeq lists it as uncharacterized. The record is from RefSeq and is a predicted model, not a curated record. NCBI's taxonomy places the organism in Eukaryota, Metazoa, Chordata, Actinopteri, Labriformes, Labridae.